GAUGAACGCUGGCGGCGUGCCUAAUACAUGCAAGUCGAGCGAACAGACGAGGAGCUUGCUCCUCUGACGUUAGCGGCGGACGGGUGAGUAACACGUGGAUAACCUACCUAUAAGACUGGGAUAACUUCGGGAAACCGGAGCUAAUACCGGAUAAUAUAUUGAACCGCAUGGUUCAAUAGUGAAAGACGGUUUUGCUGUCACUUAUAGAUGGAUCCGCGCCGCAUUAGCUAGUUGGUAAGGUAACGGCUUACCAAGGCAACGAUGCGUAGCCGACCUGAGAGGGUGAUCGGCCACACUGGAACUGAGACACGGUCCAGACUCCUACGGGAGGCAGCAGUAGGGAAUCUUCCGCAAAGGGCGAAAGCCUGACGGAGCAACGCCGCGUGAGUGAUGAAGGUCUUCGGAUCGUAAAACUCUGUUAUUAGGGAAGAACAAAUGUGUAAGUAACUAUGCACGUCGUGACGGUACCUAAUCAGAAAGCCACGGCUAACUACGUG
RNAcentral lists this ribosomal RNA (497 nucleotides) under uncultured bacterium. RNAcentral describes it as "partial 16S ribosomal RNA". It matches the Rfam family "Bacterial small subunit ribosomal RNA", at positions 28 to 507 of the family's 1533-position model. The record is from RNAcentral.